Formica exsecta is the source of this 1410-nucleotide long non-coding RNA. RefSeq lists it as uncharacterized. The transcript has 4 exons. NCBI's taxonomy places the organism in Eukaryota, Metazoa, Arthropoda, Insecta, Hymenoptera, Formicidae. The record is from RefSeq and is a predicted model, not a curated record.
CGACAGUGCGAUUCUAUUUGCUUGCUGCUCCUUUCCUCUCCGGCGCUUUCUUAUUCUUCGCAGAGAAUCGUAGAGAAUCGCAGAGAAUACGAAGGAGGGAAUGCAAGAAAAUUUUACAGAACAGUAUUGAAGAUAUGAGGCCUCUUCGCUUUCGAAGAAGGAGAAAAGGGGAGAUUGCAAAAAAGACUUUGUUGGGAAAAGAUUGGAAUUGAAUAGUCGUGUUACGGGGAAAUUUUGCACGUCGUCCAAGGAUCCUCCAUCUCUCAGAAAGCAGCGGGAGAUGCUCACGACCGGGUGACGAUUUGUGUGGAGGAUUCGGUAGAUAUUGUUUCACGUCGAAGAACUUCUUGAGCUCCUCUGGAUCGAAGAUGGGAUAUCUGUAAAACACCUAAAGAGACUACGUUGGAAAAAUAUUGAAAUUGAAACAUGUCCACAAUUCCAUCUACAGACGAAGAUAUGGACCGAAGGAUUAAGGACUUUCGAAACGGAUGAGAUCAGGACUUUCGAAACGGAUGAGAUCAGAUAUGUUCUGUUGCGGGCAGACUCCGCACAUGGCCAAAGGAUCCUCCAGCUCCCAGAGAUCUGGCGAAAGAUGCUCACGACUGGGUGACGAUUUGUAUGGAGGAUUCGGUAGAUAUUGUUUCACGUCGAAGAACUUCUUGAGCUCCUCUGGAUCGAAGAUGGGAUAUCUGUAAAACACCUAAAGAGACUACGUUGGAAAAAUAUUGAAAUUGGUGAGCUUUUUUAUCUAUUUCUAUAUUUCAUAUCUCUCCUUUAUGCCGUUGACAUAUAAAAAACAUAGUAUGUAUAAAGUUUUUGUAACGUUUUAAGUAAUGCCGUCAUAUUUGAUAAAAAUAUUCGAAAUUAUGCAACUUAUUCGAACUUAAUUACGGCUACCGAUAAUCGAUCAGAUAUCAGUUAUUGCAUUAUAUACUGCACAUAUACCAACUCGAAGUAAAGCGUUACAUAACGAAGGAAUACAAAUCAUAGAAAAAAAGCGCAAAAAUAAUUUACGUCUUAUUUUUCUUUUACAAUACAUCAAUUUUUAAUAUAAAAUGUGUGAACUACAUUUAAUAUAAUUCAAAUAUCUCCUGAAGAUCUUUAUUUUAUGCAGAAUCGUAAAAAAAAGUAUAGGAUAAGAGUGACUGUUUAAAUAAAAUUCUACAUUACAUUAUCGAAUAAAUGAAGCUGUAAAUUUCUUUAUUAUAUUUUAUUGACAAUGAAAUCAUGCGAAGACAUAUCGGUGAACAACAAUAAGUGAAAUUUCUAUAGUCAAUCUUUGAGGGAUAAAAACGCUGUGAAGUAGGAUACACUCACCCGUACCACCUUAAAUCGAGUACAUAGAAGCGUAAAUUGUUUUAUGUACAGACAGUUUGUAAAAUAAGAAAUAAAUGUAUUGCAAAUAAAUUU